CCGAAUGUCUAAAGUUUGACACAGAGUAGCAAAAGCCUACAUAUAACCCCAUCUAUUUGGAUGGAGUUGAGAGGGGGCCACGUUUAAAACUCUCAAAACGUCCAUUUGAAAUUCAGAGAAAGGCAACCUAAUACAAAUCGAAGAACAAGCUAGAGUAAAAAUAAAAGAAAUCCUCUCUAGACGCUUCCCUACCAUGAAAAACCCUUUCGUCUUCCCGACACGCAACCAGUUUUAUGGCAGUACAGUAUCCCCG
Molecule: long non-coding RNA, 253 nt
Filed under: Vigna radiata
Lineage: Eukaryota; Viridiplantae; Streptophyta; Magnoliopsida; Fabales; Fabaceae
Description: long non-coding RNA (VRAD_LNC014245)
Source: RNAcentral